GUGCCAGCAGCCGCGGUAAUACAGAGGAGCCAAGCGUUGUCCGGAUUGACUGGGCGUAAAGCGCACGCAGGCGGCCGCGCACGUGGGGUGUGAAAUCUGGCCGCUUAACGGCCAGGCGCCAUCCCAUACGGCACGGCUGGAGCCAUGCAGAGGGCGGUGGAAUUGCCGGUGUAGUGGUGAAAUGCGUAGAGAUCGGCAGGAACACCCAGGGGGAAACCAGCCGCCUGGGCAUGCGCUGACGCUGAGGUGCGAGAGCGUGGGGAGCGAACCGGAUUAGAUACCCGCGUAGUCC
This 292-nucleotide ribosomal RNA is filed under the name uncultured bacterium. RNAcentral's name for it is "partial 16S ribosomal RNA". It matches the Rfam family "Bacterial small subunit ribosomal RNA", at positions 505 to 796 of the family's 1533-position model. The record is from RNAcentral.